Molecule: long non-coding RNA, 808 nt
Organism: Amaranthus tricolor (Joseph's coat)
Lineage: Eukaryota; Viridiplantae; Streptophyta; Magnoliopsida; Caryophyllales; Amaranthaceae
Exons: 3
Source: RefSeq, a predicted model, not a curated record
UGCUAAUUGCAUAAGUGGGUUAAGUCUUAAGUACCCAUCAAUCAAAAUUGAAUCAUCCAUUAUAAUAGAGUAAAGAUCACGCCAUAGAAUUAUGAUUUUCUAGGAAAUUGGUUUCCGCACCCCAAAUAAGAAAGAUAAUAGGUAAUCUACAUAAAAUUCGAAAAGACAUUUUCCACAAAAAUCAAUUGGUACUACUCCUUAAGUUUAUAUAAAGUGGUAUUAUCCUUUUCUUUUUCUCAAAUAUGGAACAACUCAUAUGUGGGCAAUAAUGGUUACUUCAACAUUCUCCGUCCCAUGUGCCCACUUCAUAAGAGGAAAGUAGAACCUUUGUCGGGUGAUUUUUGUAACUCGGGGUCGUGCAGUGACGCUUGCAGCAGGAGGAUCAUAGCUUGACAUGACAGGUAUAAAAGCUUCUUUUGCUUUGCAUUGGGGGUAAAAGCGGAGUACGGUCGAAACAAUUGUGUACAAGUUGCUUAAUGCUUGUAGCUUCUAUAUUACUUGUAAAUUUUUCUUUUGGGUUUGUAUAAUUUCUUUCGUAUGGAGCCAUGUGACUCCUUGUAUGAUCCAUAGUUUCGUAAUUUUUGGAUGUAUAUAGUGAGAAUUCUCCUUUAGUAGCCAUCAAAUCGACGCGUUAACACUGGAACCACGAUCCUCGUUAGAGUUGAUGAUUUGAGAAGCAGACGAUGAGUCAUUCCGUCGUGACGUAUCUUUGAAAGGCACUAAAGGCCUUAGAUUAGUUUAGUUAUGCUAUCCAUUAUAUCCUUGUCACAUCCUCAGUUUUUAGUAGAAUGAUGCCGAAAUUUUCACU